CUCAGUGACCCAGGAGCUGACACACUAUGGCGCACGUCCGAGGCUUGCAGCUGCCUGGCUGCCUGGCCCUGGCUGCCCUGUGUAGCCUUGUGCACAGCCAGCAUGGUUCCUGGCUCCUCAGCAAGCACGGUCGCUGCUCCAGCGGGUCCGGCGAGCCAACACCUUCUUGGAGGAGGUGCGCAAGGGCAACCUGGAGCGAGAGUGCGUGGAGGAGACGUGCAGCUACGAGGAGGCCUUCGAGGCUCUGGAGUCCUCCACGGCUACGAUGUGUUCUGGGCCAAGUACACAGUUGUGAGACAGCGAGGACGCCUCGAGAUAAGCUU
RNAcentral lists this long non-coding RNA (323 nucleotides) under Homo sapiens (human). RNAcentral's name for it is "long non-coding RNA NONHSAT021194.2". Lineage: Eukaryota; Metazoa; Chordata; Mammalia; Primates; Hominidae. The record is from RNAcentral.